Molecule: small nuclear RNA, 107 nt
Organism: Monodelphis domestica (gray short-tailed opossum)
Lineage: Eukaryota; Metazoa; Chordata; Mammalia; Didelphimorphia; Didelphidae
Source: Ensembl
GUACUUAUUUCAGCAGCACUUACACUAAAAUUGGAACAAUACAGAGAAGAUUAGCAUGGACUCUGAAGAAGGAUGACAUACAAAUUCAUGAAACAUACUAUAUUUUU